UAAUACAGAGACCUCAAGCGUUAUCCGGAUUUAUUGGGCGUAAAGCGUCCGCAGGCGGCACGUUAAGUCUUUCGUCAAAUCUCUGGGCUCAACCCAGGGGCUGCGAGGGAAACUGGCGAGCUAGAGGUUGGGAGAGGCAAACGGAAUUACCGGUGUAGUAGUAAAAUGCGUUAAUAUCGGUAAGAACACCAAAGGCGAAGGCAGUUUGCUGGAACACACCUGACGCUAAGGGACGAAAGCACGGGGAGCGAAGCGGAUUAGAUACCCGCGUAGUCCGUGCCCUAAACGAUGAGUGCUGGAUUUUGGGAGUAUCGACCCUCCCAGAGUCGUUCAACUAAGCUAACGCGUUAAGCACUCCGCCUGGGGAGUACGGUCGCAAGACUA
RNAcentral lists this ribosomal RNA (384 nucleotides) under uncultured bacterium. Its description in RNAcentral is "bacterial SSU rRNA". It matches the Rfam family "Bacterial small subunit ribosomal RNA", at positions 521 to 896 of the family's 1533-position model. The record is from RNAcentral.